RNAcentral lists this ribosomal RNA (502 nucleotides) under Arthrobacter ginsengisoli. RNAcentral's name for it is "bacterial SSU rRNA". It matches the Rfam family "Bacterial small subunit ribosomal RNA", at positions 380 to 892 of the family's 1533-position model. The record is from RNAcentral. Lineage: Bacteria; Bacillati; Actinomycetota; Actinomycetes; Micrococcales; Micrococcaceae.
AGCCUGAUGCAGCGACGCCGCGUGAGGGAUGACGGCCUUCGGGUUGUAAACCUCUUUCAGUAGGGAAGAAGCGAAAGUGACGGUACCUGCAGAAGAAGCGCCGGCUAACUACGUGCCAGCAGCCGCGGUAAUACGUAGGGCGCAAGCGUUAUCCGGAAUUAUUGGGCGUAAAGAGCUCGUAGGCGGUUUGUCGCGUCUGCCGUGAAAGUCCGGGGCUCAACUCCGGAUCUGCGGUGGGUACGGGCAGACUAGAGUGAUGUAGGGGAGACUGGAAUUCCUGGUGUAGCGGUGAAAUGCGCAGAUAUCAGGAGGAACACCGAUGGCGAAGGCAGGUCUCUGGGCAUUAACUGACGCUGAGGAGCGAAAGCAUGGGGAGCGAACAGGAUUAGAUACCCUGGUAGUCCAUGCCGUAAACGUUGGGCACUAGGUGUGGGGGACAUUCCACGUUUUCCGCGCCGUAGCUAACGCAUUAAGUGCCCCGCCUGGGGAGUACGGCCGCAAG